GAUGAAGAACGUAGCGAAAUGCGAUAAGUAGUGUGAAUUGCAGAAUUCAGUGAAUCAUCGAAUCUUUGAACGCACCUUGCGCCCUUUGGCCAUUCCGAAGGGCAUGCCUGUUUGAGUAUCAUGAACACCUCAACUCUCAUGGCUCGCCAUGAUGAGCUUGGAUUUGGGGGUCUUGCUGGCCUGUGGUCGGCUCCUCUCAAAUGGAUCAGCUUGCCAGUGUUUGGUGGCAUCACAGGUGUGAUAACUAUCUGCGCUUGUGGUUUUCCAUCAGAUAACCUUCAGUGAUGGAGGUUCGCUGGAGCUCAUAAACGUCUCCCCUAAGCGGGGACAGCCCUUUGAAUGUUUGAUCUCAAAUCAGGUAGGACUACCCGCUGAACUUAAGCAUAUCAAUAAGCGGAGGA
RNAcentral lists this unclassified non-coding RNA (401 nucleotides) under soil metagenome. Its description in RNAcentral is "partial contains 5.8S ribosomal RNA, internal transcribed spacer 2, and large subunit ribosomal RNA". The stretch from base 1 to 121 matches the Rfam family "5.8S ribosomal RNA", at positions 35 to 154 of the family's 154-position model. The record is from RNAcentral.